UUCUGGCACAGCCACCCCCAAGUGCGAAUGUCUGGUCCUGUCUGAUCUCAGAAACUAAUCAGGGUUGUGCCUGGGCAGUACUUUGAUGGGAGACCACCUUGGAAAAGCAGCGGGUUGCGUCAGGAA
Molecule: ribosomal RNA, 126 nt
Filed under: Mastacembelus armatus (zig-zag eel)
Lineage: Eukaryota; Metazoa; Chordata; Actinopteri; Synbranchiformes; Mastacembelidae
Source: RNAcentral